CCAGGGCAGUAGAGAGCCUGGCUGGGCCAGGUACUUUUCAGGGGGCAAGGCCUAAUCACGGGAGGAAUGGCCAUGCACCCUUAGAAAAAAAUACAGAUUUUUAUUUUUAUUUUAAGCAUUUCUCUGGCCAUACUGCAGCCCAGCACUCAGCAGCAUGUGCUGGGAUGAGAAGAAAAGCUGCAGCUGCUGCUUCCAGAUGCACAGAGCCUGCUCUUCAUGGCUCCUCUUCACUUCAGCAGCGGUGACAGCAUGACAUCUCAUACACCGUCCCGGAAAAUUAAACCACUGGGACCUGAGGAAGGGGGUGAAUGCUGUCCAACAGACACAACGUAUGUGAGUACCAGGAGGGGUCGGCUGCAAAUGGAGGAGGACCAUGAAGCCACCAGGACAUGAGGAAGGGGGAGGUGGCUGCAGCUCAUCGGUAACACUAGCGCCACCUGCAUCAUCUAUUGAUGUAGGUGAUGAGACUUUACGAUCCACGUGGACUACAGCUGGAAACGGUAACCUGUGCGGACGCAGCGGUAGCGGAGCAAGGUACCUUGCCCGAAGCAUGGCGAGCGGACACGAUGCAUGAAUUGGGGUUCCCCGUCACUCUACGAAGAAAACUACACCAAAAAAUUUUUCAAACUCAUGUCAAACUUUUUUCAUGUCGACAUAGUACAUGUCGACCUAGGGUUCCUGUCGACCUAUAAACCAUGUCGACCAAUAGUGGUCGACCUAGUCACUAUCGACCUAAGUCUAUUCUAUCUAACAUACCACACCCCUCCAGAAGAUGUCCGGAGAGGAGAAGCAGGUGGGUGGCGAAGGAGGGUGGGGCCGGGCUAAUUGUGUCAUUAGGCUCCCCCCCCACAUGGGGAAAUACCUCUAUUGGACUAUAUUUGCAUAGGUGCAGAGCUAAAAUGACACCAAUAGCGUAACAUUGCGACAUUGCCCCACCCCCUCCGUCGGACCCGUAGCUUCUCUAUAUUUAUCUCCCUAUUGCCCAGUGCCAACUUCACUAGUAAGAGGGCAGAAUGCGGGAGGGUUGCCCUCUCUUAGUCUCGCUCUCACUUAUAUCUGUAAUCUUUAUGGAUAUUGGGGGUAAUUCCAAGUUGAUUGCA
Long non-coding RNA from Pseudophryne corroboree (corroboree frog), 1100 nucleotides. RefSeq lists it as uncharacterized. The record is from RefSeq and is a predicted model, not a curated record. Lineage: Eukaryota; Metazoa; Chordata; Amphibia; Anura; Myobatrachidae. The transcript has 3 exons.